GCUGGCGACCGGCGCACGGGUGAGUAACACGUAUCCAACCUGCCGAUAACUCGGGGAUAGCCUUUCGAAAGAAAGAUUAAUACCCGAUGGCAUAAUGAUUCCGCAUGGUUUCAUUAUUAAAGGAUCCGGUAAAGGAUGGGGAUGCGUUCCAUUAGGUUGUUGGUGAGGUAACGGCCCACCAAGCCUUCGAUGGAUAGGGGUUCUGAGAGGAAGGUCCCCCACAUUGGAACUGAGACACGGUCCAA
This 245-nucleotide ribosomal RNA is filed under the name uncultured bacterium. RNAcentral's name for it is "partial 16S ribosomal RNA". It matches the Rfam family "Bacterial small subunit ribosomal RNA", at positions 87 to 334 of the family's 1533-position model. The record is from RNAcentral.